This 664-nucleotide long non-coding RNA is filed under the name Homo sapiens (human). RNAcentral describes it as "HSALNT0323852". The record is from RNAcentral. Lineage: Eukaryota; Metazoa; Chordata; Mammalia; Primates; Hominidae.
AAUAAGAGCGAGGGAGAGAGCAAGACGCGACCAGAGAGCCACCGGGGCCCGCUCGCGCGCCUCUGAGAGGCUGUCCGCGCGCGCGCGUGUGUGCGUGAGUGUGGAUUUGCCGGGACUGGAGCUGGAAAGUUCAAACUAAACGUGUUGCUCUCGCCGAGUGCCGAGGCCGCGGCGGAGGCUGCCCAACUUCCCCGGGCCAAGUGAGUGGCGUUGCCCAGCGCCUUUGGCGAGGCGGCGGCCGCUCGGCCCUGCGCCCGGCCGCGGCGGCGGCGGCUCCGCUCGCCCCGGGAGGGAGCCCGCGGCCAGGGCUGGACUCUCGCCCCGCCACCUCCACCGACUCUCUCCUCAGCCUCCGCGCCUGGCACCGCAGCAAGACUUGAAUGAAGUGAUCAUGUAAACUAGAGAAAGGAGAUUAAAAAUAACCUCUGGAUAUUCCUCUCAUGUGAUCUUUAUUCUGGAUGAAGCAUUAGGACAGCUAAUAGCCGUGUGUCACUUAAAAAUCCAACUUGAGAACUGUCACCAAAGAUGUCUAGGAACUUUGAAGAAACAUGAAGGGGAUGGAUGAGGAAGACCCAGAGGAAAAUUCCAGAGGUGAUGGGUUCUGGAAGUAAAAAUUGAUAGGGAAGAUGAAGAAAUGCAUACAUAUUCAAGAUCUCGCUAAAGG